UACGUAGGGUGCGAGCGUUGUCCGGAAUUAUUGGGCGUAAAGGGCUCGUAGGCGGUUUGUCGCGUCGGGAGUGAAAACCUUGGGCUUAACUCAGGGCUUGCUUUCGAUACGGGCAGACUAGAGGUAUGCAGGGGAGAACGGAAUUCCUGGUGUAGCGGUGAAAUGCGCAGAUAUCAGGAGGAACACCGGUGGCGAAGGCGCCACUCUGGGCCGGUACUGACGCUGAGGAGCGAAAGCGUGGGGAGCGAACAGG
Molecule: ribosomal RNA, 253 nt
Filed under: uncultured bacterium
Lineage: Bacteria
Description: partial 16S ribosomal RNA
Rfam family: Bacterial small subunit ribosomal RNA
Source: RNAcentral